RNAcentral lists this ribosomal RNA (253 nucleotides) under uncultured bacterium. RNAcentral describes it as "partial 16S ribosomal RNA". It matches the Rfam family "Bacterial small subunit ribosomal RNA", at positions 524 to 776 of the family's 1533-position model. The record is from RNAcentral.
UACGUAGGGCGCAAGCGUUGUCCGGAAUUAUUGGGCGUAAAGAGCUCGUAGGCGGCUUGUCACGUCGGGUGUGAAAGCCCGGGGCUUAACCCCGGGUCUGCAUUCGAUACGGGCUAGCUAGAGUGUGGUAGGGGAGACUGGAAUUCCUGGUGUAGCGGUGAAAUGCGUAGAUAUCGAGAGGAACACCUGCGGCGAAGGCGGGUUGCUGGGCUGACACUGACGCUGAUGCGCGAAAGCCAGGGGAGCGAACGGG